This 745-nucleotide ribosomal RNA is filed under the name Lentilactobacillus parafarraginis. RNAcentral's name for it is "bacterial SSU rRNA". It matches the Rfam family "Bacterial small subunit ribosomal RNA", at positions 52 to 781 of the family's 1533-position model. The record is from RNAcentral. Lineage: Bacteria; Bacillati; Bacillota; Bacilli; Lactobacillales; Lactobacillaceae.
UAUGAUGUUAGGUGCUUGCAUUUAACUGAUUUAACAUUGAGACGAGUGGCGAACUGGUGAGUAACACGUGGGUAACCUGCCCUGAAGUGGGGGAUAACACUUGGAAACAGGUGCUAAUACCGCAUAACAACGAAAACCACAUGGUUUUCGUUUGAAAGAUGGCUUCGGCUGUCACUUUUGGAUGGACCCGCGGCGUAUUAGCUUGUUGGUGAGGUAACGGCUCACCAAGGCCAUGAUACGUAGCCGACCUGAGAGGGUAAUCGGCCACAUUGGGACUGAGACACGGCCCAAACUCCUACGGGAGGCAGCAGUAGGGAAUCUUCCACAAUGGACGAAAGUCUGAUGGAGCAACGCCGCGUGAGUGAUGAAGGGUUUCGGCUCGUAAAACUCUGUUGUUGGAGAAGAACAGGUGAUAGAGUAACUGUUAUCAUCUUGACGGUAUCCAACCAGAAAGCCACGGCUAACUACGUGCCAGCAGCCGCGGUAAUACGUAGGUGGCAAGCGUUGUCCGGAUUUAUUGGGCGUAAAGCGAGCGCAGGCGGUUUUUUAGGUCUGAUGUGAAAGCCUUCGGCUUAACCGGAGAAGGGCAUCGGAAACCGGGAGACUUGAGUGCAGAAGAGGACAGUGGAACUCCAUGUGUAGCGGUGAAAUGCGUAGAUAUAUGGAAGAACACCAGUGGCGAAAGCGGCUGUCUGGUCUGUAACUGACGCUGAGGCUCGAAAGCAUGGGUAGCGAACAGGAUUAG